This 443-nucleotide ribosomal RNA is filed under the name uncultured bacterium. RNAcentral's name for it is "partial 16S ribosomal RNA". It matches the Rfam family "Bacterial small subunit ribosomal RNA", at positions 338 to 795 of the family's 1533-position model. The record is from RNAcentral.
CCUACGGUGUGCAGCAGUGGGGAAUAUUUGGCCAUGGGCGCAAGCCUGACCCAGCAACGCCGCGUGCAGGAAGAAGGCUUUCGGGUUGUAAACUUCUUUUGUCAGGGACGAAGCAAGUGACGGUACCUGACGACUAAGCCACGGCUAACUACGUGCCAGCAGCCGCGGUAAUAAGUAGGUGGCCAGCGUUAUCCGGAUUUACUGGGUGAAAAGGUCGUGUAGGCGGGACUGCAAGUCAUAGUUGAAAACCACGGCCUCACCCUGUGGCCUGCAUUUGAAACUGUAGUUCUUGGGUACUGGAGAGGCAGACGGAAUUCCUAGUGUAGCGGUGAAAUGCGUAGAUAUUAGGAGGAACACCAGUGGCGAAGGCGGUCUGCUGGACAGCAACUGACGCUGAGGCGCGAAAGCGUGGGGAGCAAACAGGAUUAGAUACCCUUGUAGUC